This 585-nucleotide ribosomal RNA is filed under the name uncultured bacterium. RNAcentral describes it as "bacterial SSU rRNA". It matches the Rfam family "Bacterial small subunit ribosomal RNA", at positions 338 to 916 of the family's 1533-position model. The record is from RNAcentral.
CCUACGGGAGGCAGCAGUAGGGAAUCUUCCGCAAUGGACGAAAGUCUGACGGAGCAAUGCCGCGUGAACGAUGAAGGCCUUCGGGUCGUAAAGUUCUGUUGUUAGGGAAGAACAAGUGCUAGUUAAAUAAGCUGGCACCUUGACGGUACCUAACCAGAAAGCCACGGCUAACUACGUGCCAGCAGCCGCGGUAAUACGUAGGUGGCAAGCGUUGUCCGGAAUUAUUGGGCGUAAAGCGCGCGCAGGCGGUUUCUAAGUCUGAUGUGAAAGCCCCCGGCUCAACCGGGGAGGGUCAUUGGAAACUGGGAAACUUGAGUGCAGAAGAGGAAAGUGGAAUUCCAAGUGUAGCGGUGAAAUGCGUAGAGAUUUGGAGGAACACCAGUGGCGAAGGCGACUUUCUGGUCUGUAACUGACGCUGAGGCGCGAAAGCGUGGGGAGCAAACAGGAUUAGAUACCCUGGUAGUCCACGCUGUAAACGAUGAGUGCUAAGUGUUAGAGGGUUUCGCCCUUUAGUGCUGAAGUUAACGCAUUAAGCACUCCGCCUGGGGAUACGGUCGCAAGACUGAAACUCAAAGGAAUUGACGG